CCAACUCCUUAUAAGUACCUAGGAUGUAUGAAAUUUUCUGAGGAUCCUCAAGAUGCAUUGGACAUUACCGUUGUCCAUUCGAUGCAUCCAACUAUCAACUGUCAAAGAAGCUUGCCAAACUAACAUUCGAACUGUUAUUGCUUCAAACUUAAAAAUGCGUUGAUUGCGCUCUUGCCACAAGCACCAACAGCCCAUGACGAACAGACUUUCUAUAGCUGAAA
RNAcentral lists this long non-coding RNA (221 nucleotides) under Elaeis guineensis (African oil palm). Its description in RNAcentral is "long non-coding RNA (EGUI_LNC015552)". Lineage: Eukaryota; Viridiplantae; Streptophyta; Magnoliopsida; Arecales; Arecaceae. The record is from RNAcentral.